Bufo bufo (common toad) is the source of this 757-nucleotide long non-coding RNA. RefSeq lists it as uncharacterized. The record is from RefSeq and is a predicted model, not a curated record. NCBI's taxonomy places the organism in Eukaryota, Metazoa, Chordata, Amphibia, Anura, Bufonidae. The transcript is spliced from 3 exons.
AAAGGCACAGUCACACCGCUCCUGUCCUGACGUGAUGGGAAACUUGGAGAGAAGCCUUUUAUUGUGAUACAAGGAAGUGGUGUUUGAGGAAAUGAUGAGUACAGGAUACUGGGCUGGAGCUUUUCACUUACAUAUUGGAUAUCAUACCUGCAACUCCUAAACCGAUCGGUACGUCAUCCUAUUUGGGGUGUUGAUCAAUUGUUGCCAAAUUUACAUCAGCAGGAUUAGCAAAUCUCCCACACCCAUCCACCGUGGCUGAGGUGCAUAGUCACACUCGCCUGCACAGCAGAGAGGUGUGAUUCAUUUGGUUGAAAGCUCUCCAAGUCCUAAAGUAGAAGAUGAGUGGUUGUAGUUGUCUGCACCCAGAGACAGACUCAGAGGAUGAGUACAACAGGGUUAGUCCUGAAAAAGAGCUAACAGAGGAGGUGGUGAAAAAGGUGGAUGGAGAUGUGAUCCUGACGGCAGCCGUUGCAGGUGCAGCAUACAGAGCUCAGAACAAUCGUGAUCGUGAAAAAGAACGGCAAAAAAUAAGGGAGCGUGAAAAGAAGCGAGAUCAUGAAAAACAGAAAGAAAGAGAGAAAAAUGCGGAAAGGGAAAAAGAGAGAAGAAGGCAAAGAGAAAGACAGAAACAAGCAGAGAAACAGAGACAGAAACAGGCUGGCAAAAGUAGGCAGAAACAAGCAGAAAAACAAAAAAAAAAAAAAUAGGAAAAUUGUUAGCAUACAAUUUCUAUUGGUUGUGUAUUGUAGCAAAAAUA